AACGCACAUUGCGCCUCUCUCUGGGAGGCAUGCCUGUCUGAGCGUCAUUUAAUCGAUAAUCGAAGGGUUGUAUUGGGCUCUGCAUUCAUGCGUUGCCUUGAAGACAUGGUCUCAUUGUGGAGGAGUUCCUUUUGGGCUGGCCACGAGGAGACACUGGUUCAAUUUGGCCUCAGAUCAGGUAGGAAGACCGCCUGAACUUAA
This 201-nucleotide unclassified non-coding RNA is filed under the name uncultured fungus. RNAcentral describes it as "sequence contains ITS2". The record is from RNAcentral. Lineage: Eukaryota; Fungi.